RNAcentral lists this ribosomal RNA (253 nucleotides) under uncultured bacterium. Its description in RNAcentral is "partial 16S ribosomal RNA". It matches the Rfam family "Bacterial small subunit ribosomal RNA", at positions 524 to 776 of the family's 1533-position model. The record is from RNAcentral.
UACGGGGGGGGCAAGCGUUGUUCGGAAUUACUGGGCGUAAAGGGCGCGUAGGCGGUGCUCUAAGUUAGAUGUGAAAACUCUGGGCUCAACCCAGAGCCUGCAUCUAAAACUGGAGUGCUAGAGUUCUGGAGGGGGUAGCGGAAUUCCUGGUGUAGCGGUGAAAUGCGUAGAUAUCAGGAGGAACACCGGUGGCGAAGGCGGCUACCUGGACAGAAACUGACGCUGAGGCGCGAAAGCGUGGGGAGCAAACAGG